RNAcentral lists this ribosomal RNA (466 nucleotides) under uncultured bacterium. RNAcentral describes it as "partial 16S ribosomal RNA". It matches the Rfam family "Bacterial small subunit ribosomal RNA", at positions 28 to 507 of the family's 1533-position model. The record is from RNAcentral.
GAUGAACGCUGGCGGCGUGCUUAACACAUGCAAGUCGAACGAUGAAGCCCAGCUUGCUGGGUGGAUUAGUGGCGAACGGGUGAGUAACACGUGAGUAACCUGCCCUUAACUCUGGGAUAAGCCUGGGAAACUGGGUCUAAUACCGGAUAGGAGCGUCCACCGCAUGGUGGGUGUUGGAAAGAUUUAUCGGUUUUGGAUGGACUCGCGGCCUAUCAGCUUGUUGGUGAGGUAAUGGCUCACCAAGGCGACGACGGGUAGCCGGCCUGAGAGGGUGACCGGCCACCAGGGGACUGAGACACGGCCCAGACUCCUACGGGAGGCAGCAGUGGGGAAUAUUGCACAAUGGGCGCAAGCCUGAUGCAGCGACGCCGCGUGAGGGAUGACGGCCUUCGGGUUGUAAACCUCUUUCAGUAGGGAAGAAGCGAAAGUGACGGUACCUGCAGAAGAAGCACCGGCUAACUACGUG